AACGAACGCUGGCGGCAGGCCUAACACAUGCAAGUCGAGCGCUCACUUCGGUGGGAGCGGCGGACGGGUUAGUAACGCGUGGGAACAUACCCUUCUCUACGGAAUAGCCUCGGGAAACUGAGAGUAAUACCGUAUACGCCCUUCGGGGGAAAGAUUUAUCGGAGAUGGAUUGGCCCGCGUUAGAUUAGAUAGUUGGUGGGGUAAUGGCCUACCAAGUCUACGAUCUAUAGCUGGUUUUAGAGGACGAUCAGCAACACUGGGACUGAGACACGGCCCAGACUCCUACGGGAGGCAGCAGUGGGGAAUCUUAGACAAUGGGCGAAAGCCUGACCUAGCCAUGCCGCGUGAGUGAUGAAGGCCUUAGGGUCGUAAAGCUCUUUCG
This 382-nucleotide ribosomal RNA is filed under the name uncultured bacterium. RNAcentral describes it as "bacterial SSU rRNA". It matches the Rfam family "Bacterial small subunit ribosomal RNA", at positions 29 to 438 of the family's 1533-position model. The record is from RNAcentral.